UUUGUCAAAGUUCAUCUUAGUUGUGUUUUACAACACUUUUUCAACAACUCCACUCGAAUAAUUAUUCUUAUAGAGGCUCUAGCCGAGUUAAAGACCUAUUCUUUAUCUCAUGCAUAAUCGUGUAGAACAUUACUGAGGAGCAAAUAAAUAAAUAUAGACUGCAUUAUUUAUUGCAACAUGUAUAUGCUGGGGGUGUAAAUUUACGAAUGAGAUGAAUUAUGUCUCGGAGAAGAAUUUUAAUGCAUAAGUUUUAGAUGUUCUAGCUUCUCUUGUAUCAUUCACUCGUAGUUCUAAUAAGCAAAAGAUAUUGAAGAAUGCUAAUGAACAGUUGUAGUGUCCUGGGUGAGUUAUUGAGCAAGAUUAAGAUAAACAUUCAAACUUGGAAAGAACAAUAUAAUCAUAUACACCUGCUGAUG
RNAcentral lists this long non-coding RNA (416 nucleotides) under Durio zibethinus. Its description in RNAcentral is "long non-coding RNA (DZIB_LNC001388)". The record is from RNAcentral. Lineage: Eukaryota; Viridiplantae; Streptophyta; Magnoliopsida; Malvales; Malvaceae.